Phasianus colchicus (ring-necked pheasant) is the source of this 547-nucleotide non-coding RNA. Lineage: Eukaryota; Metazoa; Chordata; Aves; Galliformes; Phasianidae. The record is from RefSeq and is a predicted model, not a curated record.
AGCACCGGCAGGAAGCGGCGUGCCGGCCGGGCCCGACGCUGUCUCCAUGGCGACGACGGCGCUGCUGAGGCGGCGGAGGACUCCGAAAUGUCUCUGUUCCUAUGCAAAAACAGCUCUUGAAAAUACUAAAGAGAACCAAAGCUCUAGAUAACUUAUAUUUGCCCAUAACGUGUCUGCAGUGAGCAAUUGUAUCAAGAAGGUCAAAACUUCAAGAUUGUUCUACACAUCAAACAAAAUCAGUUCAGAGCUGUGAUGGUCUAUCGGAUAUACAGACAGCUACAAAUGAAGCUGUACAGGCAAUUUCUGUCUUAUAGUCUCAUCCAAGAGAAAUAGACCUCAAAGUGUUUCCACAGGUCAACUAAGCUGGAGGAGUGCACUAAAAAGCUGAGUCUGAACAUGGCUGCACAAUGAGAGUUCUUGGCAGACAGCUCUGAGCACUAGAACCUAAAGACUUACCCCAUGAUGCCGACGUUUAUAUUUCACCCGAAGAGACUUUUUUAGAUCCAUUUAAAAAAAAAGGUAAAGAAAAAAAAAAAAAGAACAACCC